AGUGUCCCUGCAGAGAGGGAGGAGAUCUUCCUCACAACCAGUGUCCCUGUGAAGAAUGGACACAAUCAUCCACAACCACCUCCCAUCAUCCCCAUGGUGGCACCACUGUGGAAAUGGGAUGGUGGAGCGUGUACUCCACCUGUGGAUUUCUAUUCCAAGAGAAGAGAUUGUCUGGGAUCCAACUCUGCACAGAUGGGUUAACAAAACUGAGCCCAAGGCUGAGAACAAGUGUGUACCACCACCUCCACCGAUGGGGACAUAUGGAUAUCAGGGGAACACUGGC
Molecule: long non-coding RNA, 283 nt
Organism: Salvelinus namaycush (lake trout)
Lineage: Eukaryota; Metazoa; Chordata; Actinopteri; Salmoniformes; Salmonidae
Exons: 3
Source: RefSeq, a predicted model, not a curated record